GCAGUGAUAGUUCAGUGGUAGAAUUCCUGUUUUCCAUGCAAGAGACCUGAAUUCUAUUCCCAGCCAAUGCA
RNAcentral lists this transfer RNA (71 nucleotides) under Loxodonta africana (African savanna elephant). It matches the Rfam family "tRNA". Rfam says of the family: Transfer RNA (tRNA) molecules are approximately 80 nucleotides in length. Their secondary structure includes four short double-helical elements and three loops (D, anti-codon, and T loops). Lineage: Eukaryota; Metazoa; Chordata; Mammalia; Proboscidea; Elephantidae. The record is from Rfam by way of RNAcentral.